CGACAAGCGGUGGAGUAUGCGGUUAAUUCGACGCAACGCGCAGACCUUACCUGGUCUUGACAUCUCGGGAAUCAUUUGGAAACAUAUGAGUGCCUCGCAAGAGGAGCCCGAUGACAGGUGCUGCAUGGCUGUCGUCAGCUCGUGUCGUGAGAUGUUGGGUUAAGUCCCGCAACGAGCGCAACCCUUGUCUUUAGUUGUCAUCAUUAAGUUGGGCACUCUAAAGAGACUGCCGGUGUCAAACCGGAGGAAGGUGGGGAUGACGUCAAGUCCUCAUGGCCUUUAUGUUCUGGGCUACACACGUGCUACAAUGGCCGGUACAGACGGACGCAAAGCCGCGAGGUGGAGCAAAUCCUAAAAAGCCGGUCUCAGUUCGGAUUGCAGGCUGCAAUUCGCCUGCAUGAAGUCGGAAUCGCUAGUAAUCGCAGGUCAGCAUACUGCGGUGAAUACGUUCCCGGGCCUU
This 460-nucleotide ribosomal RNA is filed under the name uncultured Desulfocapsa sp. RNAcentral describes it as "bacterial SSU rRNA". It matches the Rfam family "Bacterial small subunit ribosomal RNA", at positions 922 to 1382 of the family's 1533-position model. Lineage: Bacteria; Pseudomonadati; Thermodesulfobacteriota; Desulfobulbia; Desulfobulbales; Desulfocapsaceae. The record is from RNAcentral.